GACGAACGCUGGCGGCGUGCUUAACACAUGCAAGUCGAACGGGUCUGCCCUGUUUUUUGCGGGGUGGGUCAGUGGCGAACGGGUGAGUAACACGUGAGUAACCUGCCCCUCACUUCUGGAUAACCGCUUGAAAGGGUGGCUAAUACGGGGUGUUCUGGCUGUGCCGCAUGGUGUGGCUGGGAAAGAUUCACUUUUGUGGUGUUUUGGUGGGGGAUGGGCUCGCGGCCUAUCAGCUUGUUGGUGGGGUGAUGGCCUGCCAAGGCUUUGACGGGUAGCCGGCCUGAGAGGGUGGGCGGUCACACUGGGACUGAGAUACGGCCCAAACUCCUGCGGGAGGCAGCAGUGGGGGGUAUUGCACAAUGGGCGGAAGCCUGAUGCAGCGACGUCGCGUGAGGGAUGGAGGCCUUCGGGUUGUGAACCUCUUUCGCCGGUGAAGAAGGUCCUGCUCUUUGUGGUGGGGUUGACGGUAGCCGGGUUAUGAAGCGCCGGCUAACUACGUG
This 500-nucleotide ribosomal RNA is filed under the name uncultured bacterium. RNAcentral describes it as "partial 16S ribosomal RNA". It matches the Rfam family "Bacterial small subunit ribosomal RNA", at positions 28 to 507 of the family's 1533-position model. The record is from RNAcentral.